CCUACCCAGAUGGUCUCUCUCUCUAACCACUCAGCCCCUACCCAGAUGGUCUCUCUCUCUAACCACUCAGCCCCUACCCAGAUGGUCUCUCUCUAACCACUCAGCCAAUACCCAGAUGGUCUCUCUAACCGCUCAGCCCCUACCCAGAUGGUCUCUCUCUCUCUAACCACUCAGCCCCUACCCAGAUGGUCUCUCUCUCUAACCACUCAGCCCCUACCCAGAUGGUCUCUCUCUCUAACCACUCAGCCCCUACACAGAUGGUCUCUCUAACCACUCAGCCCCUACCCAGAUGGUCUCUCUCUCUAACCACUCAGCCCCUACCCAGAUGGUCUCUCUCUCUAACCACUCAGCCCCUACCCAGAUGGUCUCUCUCUCUAACCACUCAGCCCCUACCCAGAUGGUCUCUCUCUCUAACCACUCAGCCCCUACCCAGAUGGUCUCUCUAACCACUCAGCCCCUACCCAGAUAGUCUCUCUCUCUCUAACCACUCAGCCCCUACCCAGAUGGUCUCUCUCUCUAACCACUCAGCCCCUACCCAGAUGGUCUCUCUCUCUAACCACUCAGCCCCUACCCAGAUGGUCUCUCUCUCUCUAACCACUCAGCCCCUACCCAGAUGGUCUCUCUCUCUAACCACUCAGCCCCUACCCAGAUGGUCUCUCUCUCUAACCACUCAGCCCCUACCCAGAUGGUCUCUCUCUCUCUAACCACUCAGCCCCUACCCAGAUGGUCUCUCUCUCUCUAACCACUCACCCCCUACCCAGAUGGUCUCUCUCUCUAACCACUCAGCCCCUACCCAGAUGGUCUCUCUCUCUAACCACUCAGCCCCUACCCAGAUGGUCUCUCUCUCUCUAACCACUCAGCCCCUACCCAGAUGGUCUCUCUCUCUAACCACUCAGCCCCUACCCAGAUGGUCUCUCUCUCUCUAACCGCUCAGCCCCUACCCAGAUGGUCUCUCUCUCUAACCGCUCAGCCCCUACCCAGAUGGUCUCUCUCUCUAACCACUCAGCCCCUACCCAGAUGGUCUCUCUCUCUAACCACUCAGCCCCUACCCAGAUGGUCUCUCUCUCUAACCACUCAGCCCCUACCCAG
This 1089-nucleotide long non-coding RNA is filed under the name Salmo salar (Atlantic salmon). RNAcentral describes it as "lncRNA (ENSSSAG00000107739.1)". Lineage: Eukaryota; Metazoa; Chordata; Actinopteri; Salmoniformes; Salmonidae. The record is from RNAcentral.